AUAUUGUUAUUUGUAAAGUAUGUUUACAUGAUUUCAGUUGAUAUGCGGUAAACAUUGUGUUUAUUGUAAUUGUUCACUUUGUAAUGUGUUUCAGAUUUUUGCAAAUCACAUUUACUCUGUUCCUUUCACUCAGGCUGGAAGUGAUGUAAUAUACAGUAACACUGGCAAAGGAACAUCAGAGCAGAUGUCAUGCACAGAUGUGGGUGUGAUUUAUAGUUCUGUGGUUACUAAAAGGUAACAGACUGUAAAACAGGGUUGAGGCUACAGCACAACGACAGUCACCACCAACUGCAAAUUUGAAUGUUUGAUGCUUCAUAAGUCAUGCUUCAUACAUUUUAAGAGCAUAUUUAGAA
Molecule: long non-coding RNA, 353 nt
Filed under: Betta splendens (Siamese fighting fish)
Lineage: Eukaryota; Metazoa; Chordata; Actinopteri; Anabantiformes; Osphronemidae
Description: lncRNA (ENSBSLG00000020847.1)
Source: RNAcentral